AUUCUGGGAUUUAGAUGCAUUUGAGUUGUGAUUUUUGAGCCUUAAUAUGCGUUUUUACCCAUUGUUUGGUUGGGGUUCGAAAUCUAAGAAAAGUUGGCAUGUUUAGGCCUUAAAAAUGGAGUUUUGGGGUGUUCUGAACCCAGUCGUCGCGACGGGAUUUUUGGCUGUCGCGACUGGGUUUGGCAGUGAGAAAUUUUGUUUUUCUCAAUUUUGUUUUGGCCAUAACUUUUGACUCGGGACUCCGUUUGGGAUGUUCUUUAUAUCGUUGGAAAGCUCGUUCCGAGCUCUAUUUGAUUAUCUGUGUUUUGAAUGCCAUGUUUAUAUUUUGUGAAAGUGAAAUUGGGGAUUAACCCUAUUUGUGAAAUCCCGGAUUGUGUGACUAGGAUUACCGGCACCUGAUCAGGAGCACCCAGGGGUUUGGAAUCUCUGUUAUUGCGGGACAACAGGAAAGGGUAAGUCAGUGGCUGAUCAACCAUGAGUUUGAGGAGCAAGACGAAGAAUGUACAUGUUCAAGCCAUAUCAGACCAAGCGGGUUAAGGGUCUAUCAGUGAUGAACUUUUGAAUUCUAUUUUGCCGUUUAGGUCGGCUAGAAAGAAAUGACUUGUAAUAGCGUUUGUAAAUAUUUUUGGGAUCCCAACUAUUUUAAAAGUUUAAAUAUAUUACAAGUUUAUUUUCA
Cannabis sativa is the source of this 676-nucleotide long non-coding RNA. RefSeq lists it as uncharacterized. The record is from RefSeq and is a predicted model, not a curated record. The transcript is spliced from 2 exons. NCBI's taxonomy places the organism in Eukaryota, Viridiplantae, Streptophyta, Magnoliopsida, Rosales, Cannabaceae.